RNAcentral lists this ribosomal RNA (424 nucleotides) under uncultured bacterium. RNAcentral describes it as "partial 16S ribosomal RNA". It matches the Rfam family "Bacterial small subunit ribosomal RNA", at positions 360 to 776 of the family's 1533-position model. The record is from RNAcentral.
AAUUUUCGGCAAUGGAGGAAACUCUGACCGAGCAAUGCCACGUGAAUGAUGAAGGUCUUCGGAUCGUAAAGUUCUUUUAUCAGGAAAGAACAGUACUAAUAGGAAAUGAUUAGUAUUUGACGGUACCUGAUUAGAAAGCCCCGGCCAACUAUGUGCCAGCAGCCGCGGUAAUACAUAGGGGGCGAGCGUUAUCCGGAAUUAUUGGGCGUAAAGCGUGCGUAGGCGGUUUAUUAAGUCUGAUGUGAAAUCCUAUGGCUUAACUAUAGGCGGUGAUUGGAUACUGGUAAACUUGAGUACGGUAGAGGUAAGUGGAAUUCCAAGUGGAGCGGUGGAAGGCGUAGAUAUUUGGAGGAACACCAGUGGCGAAGGCGGCUUACUGGGCCGUUACUGACGCUGAUGCACGAAAGCGUGGGGAGCAAACAGG